CCUGCCGGCACCAAGCCCGGUGCCGAGGGGCACCGCUGUGCCUGGAGCAGCUGCCCCGCAGGCACCAGAGACCGAGCUCUGGGGUUUCACCUCUGCCAGUGAACAGGGGAAGGAAGAAGGAAGUGUAGCUGCCACUAAUCAGGCUAAUGAACUGGCUAGUAGGCUGUCAUCAUGAAGCGAGUUCUGCUGCAUCGAUCGUUUAUAAAAUCACCCCAGAUUUUACAAAUUGUGACAUUCUGAUUGUGUUGAAAACAUGUUUAAAAUGCAGUAGCAUGCAAGCAGCGGUGUUAAUGGCAAUUCUUAAAACCACUUGCGGGUUGCAAUCUGUAUCUUCAAAUUAGUCAGGGGAAGGAGAAAUGGCAGAUAAAAUAUCCACUGUGGUUUACUGUAGUUAGUGGAUGCCUCGAAUAAUCAACGUAGGCAAGGGAAAGGAACAGUAUUAAAAUUCGCUCCCGACUGCUAGAAGGGAGAUAAAUUUCCUUGCAAGCAAAUUGAGAGAGUUUGUUGACGUGCUGCUGGCACGCGUGUGCUACUCGUGUGUGUAUCCUGAUAGCGUGUAACUUUGUGAGCGUGGCACGGGAUGCACAUCAGUACCCGGUAGAUUUAAUGUGCAGACUGAACCAGCCAGAGCAAGAACCUUUUCAGAGCUGCUCAUCAUUGAACACUGCCAUUAAUGCCGUGGCUUGAAAGCCUCACCCCAAAUAAAACGUUGGCCUUGCCAGUGGAACACAACUCAGAACAGUUUAAAUGUCAUCAAGGUAACCAUGUUGUUUCCUCUGUUGAUGUGUUUUUCUGUUCCAAUGUCCAACCAUUCCUGGAAGUUCUCUAAAGAAAAUGAGAGAGUCCCUGCAUUUUGUGCUCAUCUGUCUGGCCACAUUAAUGGGAGGCUCCAAAUUCUGUGCGCAUUGAAUGGGAGAGGUGGUUACUUCUUGGGGUAUUGUAGGUAAAACAGUCUCUGGCUUCGCUGGGAGACAGCGUCAUCUUGCAAGGCUUCUCUUCUGAGCCCGGUCAUUUAAUUUUGAUAGUGGGGAUGCAAAGAACUAGCACUUAGUGGCUCAGAGUCGGCUUUGUUAAGGUGACAUUUCUUCUUGGAAAGGGUAAUUUUGUAUUUCUGCACCCUGUGCUGUACUCCUGCAUUUCUGUACAGGGAUUGUAAAACACAAAAAGUUCCAUAAGCACCCCGGAAAAUCACUCUCAUGACUUUCUUCACUGCCUAAAAUUUCAUGGAGCUGAAAAUUACUGGGUCAAUCUUGAAAGGAUUUAGUAAUUGGAAAGGA
This is a long non-coding RNA of Oxyura jamaicensis (ruddy duck), 1277 nucleotides long. RefSeq lists it as uncharacterized. The transcript has 2 exons. NCBI's taxonomy places the organism in Eukaryota, Metazoa, Chordata, Aves, Anseriformes, Anatidae. The record is from RefSeq and is a predicted model, not a curated record.